GGGGGUUCAUCACCGCGACACGCUCUCGGUCCACUUACCAAGGCCAAGGCCACGACACGCGAUGAAACUCGCGAUGAAACGAAUCCCCCCUCAAUGCGAGUUUCAUCGCGGGAUCUGCUGUGCUCCCCGCUCCGCCGCCGCCGCCACCCUCCUCCGCGCGCUCUGCUCCCGCGCCCAUCUGGCUCCCGCGCUCACCUGCGCGCCCCGCGGUGGGAACUCGCGCGCUCGCGAAUGCCUCCGCUCCCGGCUCUCCCGCUCGCAAGCGCCGCCUCCCCCAACCCCUCCUGCUUCCCGCGCCCUACAUCUGCCCUAGCGCGCGAAAUCGUUCCAAAUCCGCCCCCUCCCCCACAUAUCCCCGCCCCUCCAUUGACUUCCGGAGCUCGCCGACGGGGAGGGUCGUCGGUCUCGGUGGGAGGGAUGUCCCGGCGGGGGAAAUCAGUACCCCAGCUCGGCGGUGGCCCAGAAAAGCGCGGUGGCGGCACUCCUCCAGCAGUUCCAACUCCGCCAGCAGCUCCACCGCAGUCGCAAUCGGCACCCCCGCCGCCAAAUGGUCCGUGGUUUCCUGGAUGUGGAGGUAGCAGUGGUCAGAGUUCAUUCUCCCAUGGAAUUGAACCGGGAAAUCCAUGAGGUGGUUAUUUUAAUUUUCUACAGCAACCACAUUUUCCACCACCGCCACAUCAGACUGGAGAAAAUUUCCAUUUUGUUGGGCUUACAAAGAACUUCAACCCAUCAUCUCCAGCACCUACACCACAGACAGAUAAGGUCAGCAUUGAUAUUGAUAUCGAUGAUGGUGAUGAGGAAACUAGGCCAGUUAAGAAAAGAUAUUGGGCACAUGAUGAGAAAGUCAGAUUGGCAAGUGCUUGGCUGAACACUUCUAAAGACCCUGUACAUGGUAAUGACAAGAAAAGUGAUUCAUUUUGGGGUCAAAUCACAAAAGAAUUUAACAAGAACACCAUACUGGAUCGUAGAAGGGAUACUAACCAACUGAAGGUACACUGGUUACGCCUUAGCAAAUCAAUAAAUGAAUUCAAUGGCUUUUGGACUACAGUGUGUAAAAUGAAUUAAGAGUGGAUACUCCGAUGACCAACUAAUGGAUGAAGCACAACAGCGGUUUGAAAAAAAGAAUAAGAAGCCUUUCACAUUGGUCCACUGGUGGAAGAUAUUAAAAAAUAAACCGAAAUGGUGUACAUACGUUGCUCAAUCAGAGAAAGAAAAACCCAAAAGCAUACUGAUGUUGAUAGUACUGGUGACAGCGAAGAACGUCCUAUUGAGAGAGAAGCAGCGAAGGCAGAAUGCAAAGGGAAGCGGAAGGCGGAACAGGUUAUGGAUGGUAUUUUCAUGCUUGGAUAUAACAUAAGCAAGAUAAUUGAAGUUACACAAGAGCGUAAGAAGGAGCGUGAAAAAAUGACAGAGGCGCAGGUAGAGAUCUCAAGGCUUAACCUGGAGGAUUGCAAAGGCGCAAAAGGAGGCUGGACAGGUGCAAAAAGAAUCAAAUUUGCUAGAAGCUUAUAAUUCUUUGCUGGUUCGAGAUACAAGUCAUAUGUACGAAGAAGCCAAGUUGAGACAGAAGACAUUGGAGAGGAUGGAGAAGAAGUUAUUUGGCACUGUUGAUGGAGCAUGAGGGGAGAAGGUGGCUGGACAGAGAGAAGGAUGGCUCUGGUGGCUGGAGAACUGAUCUGUGUGAAGGGUUGCCAUGUGAUCCGGAGAGAGUUUUGUUUUUUUGGUUAUUUUUUCAUUGUGAAUGGUGAUGCCUUGGCAUGUGAAACUGAUCCACCUUGGCAUGUGAAACUAUUUGUGUGAAUUCUAAUGGUUUGCCAUGUC
Panicum hallii is the source of this 1821-nucleotide long non-coding RNA. RefSeq lists it as uncharacterized. The record is from RefSeq and is a predicted model, not a curated record. The transcript is spliced from 4 exons. NCBI's taxonomy places the organism in Eukaryota, Viridiplantae, Streptophyta, Magnoliopsida, Poales, Poaceae.